This 253-nucleotide ribosomal RNA is filed under the name uncultured bacterium. Its description in RNAcentral is "partial 16S ribosomal RNA". It matches the Rfam family "Bacterial small subunit ribosomal RNA", at positions 524 to 776 of the family's 1533-position model. The record is from RNAcentral.
UACGUAGGGGGCAAGCGUUGUCCGGAUUUAUUGGGCGUAAAGAGCGUGUAGGCGGCCUGACAGGUCUGCUGUGAAAACUCGAGGCUCAACCUCGAGAUGUCGGCGGAAACCGUCUGGCUAGAGUCCGGAAGAGGAGAGUGGAAUUCCCGGUGUAGCGGUGAAAUGCGCAGAUAUCAGGAGGAACACCAAUGGCGAAGGCAGCUCGCUGGGACGGUACUGACGCUGAGACGCGAAAGCGUGGGGAGCAAACAGG